This 443-nucleotide ribosomal RNA is filed under the name uncultured bacterium. RNAcentral describes it as "bacterial SSU rRNA". It matches the Rfam family "Bacterial small subunit ribosomal RNA", at positions 337 to 797 of the family's 1533-position model. The record is from RNAcentral.
GCCUACGGGGGGCAGCAGUGGGGAAUAUUGCACAAUGGGCGCAAGCCUGAUGCAGCAACGCCGCGUGAGUGAUGAAGGUCUUCGGAUUGUAAAGCUCUGUCUUUUGGGACGAUAAUGACGGUACCAAAGGAGGAAGCCACGGCUAACUACGUGCCAGCAGCCGCGGUAAUACGUAGGUGGCAAGCGUUGUCCGGAUUUACUGGGCGUAAAGGGUGCGUAGGUGGAUAUUUAAGUCAGAUGUGAAACCCCUGGGCUCAACUCAGGGACUGCAUUUGAAACUGGAUAUCUGGAGUGCAGGAGAGGUAAGUGGAAUUCCUAGUGUAGCGGUGAAAUGCGUAGAGAUUAGGAAGAACACCAGUGGCGAAGGCGACUUACUGGACUGUAACUGACACUGAGGCACGAAAGCGUGGGUAGCAAACAGGAUUAGAUACCCGUGUAGUCCG